GUCUGAAUAUGGGGGGCCCAUCCUCCAAGGCUAAAUACUCCUGACUGACCGAUAGUGAACCAGUACCGUGAGGGAAAGGCGAAAAGAACCCCGGCGAGGGGAGUGAAAAAGAACCUGAAACCGUGUACGUACAAGCAGUGGGAGCACGCUUAGGCGUGUGACUGCGUACCUUUUGUAUAAUGGGUCAGCGACUUAUAUUCUGUAGCAAGGUUAACCGAAUAGGGGAGCCGAAGGGAAACCGAGUCUUAACUGGGCGUUAAGUUGCAGGGUAUAGACCCGAAACCCGGUGAUCUAGCCAUGGGCAGGUUGAAGGUUGGGUAACACUAACUGGAGGACCGAACCGACUAAUGUUGAAAAAUUAGCGGAUGGCUUGUGGCUGGGGGUGAAAGGCCAAUCAAACCGGGAGAUAGCUGGUUCUCCC
Molecule: ribosomal RNA, 421 nt
Filed under: Exiguobacterium sp. SL-10
Lineage: Bacteria; Bacillati; Bacillota; Bacilli; Caryophanales
Description: partial 23S ribosomal RNA
Rfam family: Bacterial large subunit ribosomal RNA
Source: RNAcentral